CAAAAGGGGACCGGCCCGGUUACCCUGUCGUUAUGUUUCCCCACCCGUGUUAACGUCACCGCCGGUCCGCCUAAAACGGACGUAGAAGAAGAGGUCUUCAACGUUCUAUGCAAUGUAUUUCCGUUGGGGACUGCACGCAUUUAAUGGGUGGAGUGUUCAGUGUUGGGACAACUACCUCUGGACCGGCACGCUCCUAGGAAGCGUGUAAGCGGGCGAAGUUUGGAGUCUAAGGGUGAGUUAAACUUCGACAAGGGCUCAGGGGUGAGAAGGAGGUGACGGAAGAACCCUUUGCCCGUCUUCUCAAGAGGAGGAACGCCAAAGCUUUUUCCCGAGUAGAAGCAGGAGGGUUGUGGUUUGAGCGGGACGGUGGUAGAGCUAUGACGAAGGCGGUACCAAGUCUAGUUCCUUAAGGCUUAGUAGUACGGAUACAACUACCUCCUCAUACUCUAUCCCGAGUCGAUGUGGUAGUAGUUCUACCUCGUCGUCUUAUGUUUACCUUUCCUCCCGCACCUCCACGACGUCGUCCAGGGAAAACUCCUACUGCUCGAGCCGCUCCCGGUUAAGUGGAGUUUUCACAUAGUAGACGUCUCGUUUUAAGGUAGAACCUACUUCCCGAAACGUAGGCGUUCAAGAGAGCGUCACGUACUCCUGAGGACCAGGCGAAUAGGUUUCUCGUCUUGUCAUUAGUUCACGGGAGAAAAAUCGUUCACAAGGGACUGCUAACUGUGGCACUAUUCUGGACUGUUGCCGACGAGACUUUUACGCGUGUUAAAUUUGUCGGUCGUCGAUCGACGUUCUCUCCACCUCUAGCAGCUGUAGCGCAGUCAUAGCGCCCUGAUGACCUCGUUCCACUAGUGACGAGGUUUUCAGCUGGAGUGUUGUAAGUUCAGGGUUGCCUGCCUCGCUCCGGGAGAAGACUUACCCACCUACCUAAGUACGGCAGGGCACUACUGGUAUAUGUUCGACCACCAGUACCUACGAGGGUAGACCCCGAACCCGCUUGCCGAGCUUCUGACGGAGUAGCGCCCCCUCUCCCGCGACAAAGACCGCACGGUGGCCGACACGAAGCGCACCUAUCUGCUCACCAUGCCGUACUGGUACCUCGUCUAGGCCCUCUACCUCUCCGUGUGCCUGGAUGAGGAGUUUUUCUGUGACUUUUUCCGACGUUUUGGACCCUCGUUCGUGCUCCCGUUCUCCUUCAGCGAGUUUCUGCUUUAGCGGCAACACCCCUCGACGUGGAUCACGACCAAGGCACUCUGCUAGGCAAAUAAAGUCACAGGGUAAAUCGACUUAAUGGUUUGGUCCUCCUGUAGAGUCCUAUACCCAUGUAGCUUUAUACCGAAUUAAUUGUGACAUGUAUAUACAUUCGUCGGUGACUUCUACGACGACGACAUCGGUUCCGUAGUACCCGACAUUCACGCAGACCAAAUUACAUUUCAUAACCUACUACCUUACGUAAGAAAAAGGUUUUUUCUCCCAAAUAUGAGCCUGGUGACGUAAUAUCUUACCUCUCGAGGAUAAGGCGUGGAAGCCGCGUCCUUUCCUCUCGACCGCGAGUGGUCGCGGGUUCGCCCGGCGCUGGGUCGUUACGGUCAAGCGAGCGGAAGGGGGACGAGCGAGGUCGACGAGCAGGCGAGAGAAACGUC
This 1646-nucleotide ribosomal RNA is filed under the name Triticum aestivum (bread wheat). RNAcentral describes it as "partial small subunit ribosomal RNA". The record is from RNAcentral. Lineage: Eukaryota; Viridiplantae; Streptophyta; Magnoliopsida; Poales; Poaceae.